RNAcentral lists this ribosomal RNA (118 nucleotides) under uncultured bacterium. Its description in RNAcentral is "partial 16S ribosomal RNA". It matches the Rfam family "Bacterial small subunit ribosomal RNA", at positions 335 to 452 of the family's 1533-position model. The record is from RNAcentral.
ACUCCUACGGGAGGCAGCAGUGGGGAAUAUUGCACAAUGGGCGCAAGCCUGAUGCAGCCAUGCCGCGUGUAUGAAGAAGGCCUUCGGGUUGUAAAGUACUUUCAGCGGGGAGGAAGGU